GCAAAUGGAUGUUAGGGAUAUGAGUGUCUUCCCAGAUGAAUCAUUUGAAGGUGUCAUUGAUAAAGGAACUCUUGAUUCACUGAUGUGUGGCAAUGAUGCUCCAAUUAGUGCUGCUCUAAUGCUAGGGGAAGUGAGUAGGA
Molecule: long non-coding RNA, 140 nt
Organism: Prunus avium (sweet cherry)
Lineage: Eukaryota; Viridiplantae; Streptophyta; Magnoliopsida; Rosales; Rosaceae
Source: RefSeq, a predicted model, not a curated record